RNAcentral lists this ribosomal RNA (416 nucleotides) under uncultured soil bacterium. Its description in RNAcentral is "bacterial SSU rRNA". It matches the Rfam family "Bacterial small subunit ribosomal RNA", at positions 26 to 445 of the family's 1533-position model. The record is from RNAcentral.
AGAUUGAACGCUGGCGGCAGGCCUAACACAUGCAAGUCGAGCGGUAGAGAGGUGCUUGCAUCUCUUGAGAGCGGCGGACGGGUGAGUAAUGCCUAGGAAUCUGCCUAGUGGUGGGGGAUAACGUUCGGAAACGGACGCUAAUACCGCAUACGUCCUACGGGAGAAAGCGGGGGACCUUCGGGCCUCGCGCCAUUAGAUGAGCCUAGGUCGGAUUAGCUAGUUGGUGAGGUAAUGGCUCACCAAGGCGACGAUCCGUAACUGGUCUGAGAGGAUGAUCAGUCACACUGGAACUGAGACACGGUCCAGACUCCUACGGGAGCAGCAGUGGGGAAUAUUGGACAAUGGGCGAAAAGCCUGAUCCAGCCAUGCCGCGUGUGUGAUGAAGGCCUUAGGGUGUAAAGCUCUUUACCCGAGAU